Molecule: long non-coding RNA, 265 nt
Filed under: Mytilus galloprovincialis (Mediterranean mussel)
Lineage: Eukaryota; Metazoa; Mollusca; Bivalvia; Mytilida; Mytilidae
Source: RNAcentral
GUGUUGUCUGUUGUUUAAAUGUUAUCCUUUUUUUUCAAGUUGGGUGUUGUGGUUAGUAAAAUUGAGAAUGGAAAUAAGAAAUAUGUUAGAGACAACAACCAAAGAGCAGAUAAAAGCUGUUGUCUGUUUUAUUUUCUGACAUUUUUAAUCAUUCCUAUUAUCCAUUUAUGUAUUUUGUAGUCUGAAGGCUUACAGUAGAAAUGCAAUAUAAAAUUGAAUUUGGAAAUUCAUAUGUAUUAUUACUGAUAUAUAGACAGACUAUCCA